This 207-nucleotide ribosomal RNA is filed under the name uncultured bacterium. RNAcentral describes it as "partial 16S ribosomal RNA". It matches the Rfam family "Bacterial small subunit ribosomal RNA", at positions 568 to 774 of the family's 1533-position model. The record is from RNAcentral.
CUCGUAGGCGGUUCGUCGCGUCCGGUGUGAAAGCCCAUCGCUUAACGGUGGAUCCGCGCCGGGUACGGGCGGGCUUGAGUGCGGUAGGGGAGACUGGAAUUCCCGGUGUAACGGUGGAAUGUGUAGAUAUCGGGAAGAACACCAAUGGCGAAGGCAGGUCUCUGGGCCGUUACUGACGCUGAGGAGCGAGAGCGUGGGGAGCGAACA